ACGAUGUAGGCCAAGCCCCGAUAGGCCGGGGCGUUGGCGGCGCCCUCAAUCGCGGCAAUCUUCGGGUCCGGGCCCUGCGCCUCGUC
This 86-nucleotide transfer RNA is filed under the name Methylobacterium indicum. RNAcentral's name for it is "tRNA-Ala". Lineage: Bacteria; Pseudomonadati; Pseudomonadota; Alphaproteobacteria; Hyphomicrobiales; Methylobacteriaceae. The record is from RNAcentral.